CUUAGCAUGAAGUGAAGCACAUACACCUGCUGAAUUUAAGCAUAUAAGUAAGUGGUGGAAAUUAAACCAAAUGGGAUAUCUUUAGUAAUUGCGAAUGAACAAGGAUAUGCUUAGCUUGACAAAUGGAGCUAUUGGCUCUGAAUUGUAUUGUGGAAAUGUAUUACCAACAGAGGUGCAGGUGCCAGCCUAUUGAAAUAAAGCGUCAAUGAGGGUGAGAAUCCUGUUUGUCAUGUGCAGCCCUUUGUGCACGGUGUAUAUUUGCUGAGUCACACUCCUUGGCAUUGGAAUGCAAAGUGGGUGGUAAGUUUCAUGUAAAGGUAAACAUGCAAUUGAGACUGAUAGCACACAAGUACCAUGAGGGAAAUAUGAAAAGGACUUUGAAAAGAGAAUUAAAUGAGUUUGUAUUUGCUGAACACAAAGUAAACAGACUUGAUUUGCUUGGUGGGAGUGUUGCACUUGCUUGACAAGAGCUUUGGGCUGUGGGUGUAAUGAUUCUUUCUUUGCAUGCCAGUUUCUAUUUGUACAUCUGAUUACCUUUGCACAUGAAUGAUAAGUCUCCUGUGGGGGGUGGAUUGCAUGUGCAUGUAAUGAUUUGUGUUUUGAUAAAUGUGUCUGGUGUAUGUGUGUGUUCCUGUGCUUGGGGAUGCUUCCUUCCUUGGACUUACAAGCCCUGACACACACAUGCUGGCAAAAUGCUUCUGCUUGACCCGUCUUGAAACACGGACCAAGGAGUCUAACAGAUGUGCAAAGUUUGAAGGUGGUAUACCUUUGUGUGCAAUGAAAGUGUCAGCUGGGAUAUGUGCACCAGCACCCAAUUAAUUAGCGGACAGAGGUUUGAGUUGGAGCAUAUCUAUUAGGACCCGAAAGAUGGUGAACUAUGCCUGAACAGAAUGAAUUCAGAGGAAACUCUGAUGGAGGUUCGUAUCGAUACUGACGUGCAAAUCGUUCG
RNAcentral lists this ribosomal RNA (949 nucleotides) under Alexandrium fundyense. RNAcentral's name for it is "eukaryotic LSU rRNA". It matches the Rfam family "Eukaryotic large subunit ribosomal RNA", at positions 1 to 904 of the family's 3401-position model. Lineage: Eukaryota; Dinophyceae; Gonyaulacales; Pyrocystaceae. The record is from RNAcentral.